RNAcentral lists this ribosomal RNA (497 nucleotides) under uncultured bacterium. RNAcentral's name for it is "partial 16S ribosomal RNA". It matches the Rfam family "Bacterial small subunit ribosomal RNA", at positions 28 to 507 of the family's 1533-position model. The record is from RNAcentral.
GAUGAACGCUGGCGGCGUGCCUAAUACAUGCAAGUCGAGCGAACAGACGAGGAGCUUGCUCCUCUGACGUUAGCGGCGGACGGGUGAGUAACACGUGGAUAACCUACCUAUAAGACUGGGAUAACUUCGGGAUACCGGAGCUAAUACCGGAUAAUAUAUUGAACCGCAUGGUUCAAUAGUGAAAGACGGUUUUGCUGUCACUUAUAGAUGGAUCCGCGCCGCAUUAGCUAGUUGGUAAGGUAACGGCUUACCAAGGCGACGAUGCGUAGCCGACCUGAGAGGGUGAUCGGCCACACUGGAACUGAGACACGGUCCAGACUCCUACGGGAGGCAGCAGUAGGGAAUCUUCCGCAAUGGGCGAAAGCCUGACGGAGCAACGCCGCGUGAGUGAUGAAGGUCUUCGGAUCGUAAAACUCUGUUAUUAGGGAAGAACAAAUGUGUAAGUAACUAUGCACGUCUUGACGGUACCUAAUCAGAAAGCCACGGCUAACUACGUG